This 361-nucleotide unclassified non-coding RNA is filed under the name uncultured bacterium. Its description in RNAcentral is "contains 16S-23S intergenic spacer region". The record is from RNAcentral.
UCCCCGUUACCGGGGCAGUCUAGCCAGAGAAAUCCAACUGACUAUAAGGGUUGCGCUCGUUGAUGGACUUAACCAAACAUCUCACGACACGAGCUGACGACGGCCAUGCAACACCUGUCACCGACCAACUAAAUGAAGUCUACUUUCGUAGAUUGCUUCGGGAUGUCAAACCCUGGUAAGGUUCUUCGCUUACCUUCGAAUUAAAGAACACGCUCCACCGCUUGUGCGGGUCCCCGUCAAUUCCUUUAUGUUUUAGUCUUGCGACCGUACUCCACAGGCGGGAUGCUUAACGCGUUAGCUUCGCUACGAGAAGGGUCGAUACUUCUCACAGCUAGCAUCCAUCGUUUACGGCGUGGACUAC